Molecule: unclassified non-coding RNA, 227 nt
Filed under: Hevea brasiliensis (rubber tree)
Lineage: Eukaryota; Viridiplantae; Streptophyta; Magnoliopsida; Malpighiales; Euphorbiaceae
Source: RNAcentral
AAAAAAGAAUGAUGAAAUUAACUCUGAAGUAGCUCAGGAAGACUUGUGUGUUGAACGAAUUCGUCUUGAGAAUAUGGAACUAAGUGUUAGGAAUUUGCUAAGCAGUACUACAAUUCAAGAACCUACAUUUGAUAGGAUAAUAGUUGUUUACAGGGGAGUGAGUACCAAGUCAAAAACAGAACGAGGAAUAUAUGUGAAGCAUUUCAAAAAUAUUCCAAUGGCCGAUA